Mycena vitilis is the source of this 92-nucleotide non-coding RNA. The record is from the annotation of a GenBank genome assembly. Lineage: Eukaryota; Fungi; Basidiomycota; Agaricomycetes; Agaricales; Mycenaceae.
UCUUGACUAGUAUAUCGGUUAGUACACGCGCUUGUCAGCGCCAAGAAAGGAUCUUGCCGCGCGAAAGCUGGGUUCGACUCCCAGGUCGAGAG